RNAcentral lists this ribosomal RNA (499 nucleotides) under uncultured bacterium. RNAcentral's name for it is "partial 16S ribosomal RNA". It matches the Rfam family "Bacterial small subunit ribosomal RNA", at positions 28 to 507 of the family's 1533-position model. The record is from RNAcentral.
GACGAACGCUGGCGGCGUGCCUAAUACAUGCAAGUCGAGCGAAGUUUUUCUGGUGCUUGCACCGGAAAAACUUAGCGGCGAACGGGUGAGUCACACGUAGAGAACCUGCCUUAUAGACUGGGACAACUAUUGGAAACGAUAGCUAAUACCGGAUAACAGCAUUAACUGCAUGGUUGAUGUUUGAAAGUUGGUUUUGCUAACACUAUGAGAUGGCUUUGCGGUGCAUUAGCUAGUUGGUGGGGUAAAGGCCUACCAAGGCGACGAUGCAUAGCCGACCUGAGAGGGUGAUCGGCCACACUGGGACUGAGACACGGCCCAGACUCCUACGGGAGGCAGCAGUAGGGAAUCUUCCGCAAUGGGCGAAAGCCUGACGGAGCAACGCCGCGUGAGUGAAGAAGGAUUUCGGUUCGUAAAGCUCUGUUGUUAGGGAAGAAUGAUUGUGUAGUAACUAUACACAGUAGAGACGGUACCUAACCAGAAAGCCACGGCUAACUACGUG